GUGCCAGCAGCCGCGGUAAUACGAAGGGGGCUAGCGUUGCUCGGAAUCACUGGGCGUAAAGCGCACGUAGGCGGCUUUUUAAGUCAGGGGUGAAAUCCUGGAGCUCAACUCCAGAACUGCCUUUGAUACUGAGAAGCUUGAGUCCGGGAGAGGUGAGUGGAACUGCGAGUGUAGAGGUGAAAUUCGUAGAUAUUCGCAAGAACACCAGUGGCGAAGGCGGCUCACUGGCCCGGUACUGACGCUGAGGUGCGAAAGCGUGGGGAGCAAACAGGAUUAGAAACCCGCGUAGUCC
RNAcentral lists this ribosomal RNA (292 nucleotides) under uncultured bacterium. RNAcentral describes it as "partial 16S ribosomal RNA". It matches the Rfam family "Bacterial small subunit ribosomal RNA", at positions 505 to 796 of the family's 1533-position model. The record is from RNAcentral.